RNAcentral lists this ribosomal RNA (236 nucleotides) under uncultured bacterium. Its description in RNAcentral is "partial 16S ribosomal RNA". It matches the Rfam family "Bacterial small subunit ribosomal RNA", at positions 100 to 334 of the family's 1533-position model. The record is from RNAcentral.
CGGGACGGGUGAGUAACGCGUGGGUAACCUGCCUUGUACAGGGGGAUAACAGUUGGAAACGGCUGCUAAUACCGCAUAAGCGCACAGUAUCGCAUGAUGCAGUGUGAAAAACUCCGGUGGUAUAAGAUGGACCCGCGUUGGAUUAGCUAGUUGGUGAGGUAACGGCCCACCAAGGCGACGAUCCAUAGCCGACCUGAGAGGGUGACCGGCCACAUUGGGACUGAGACACGGCCCAA